GUCUAUGGCCAUUCUACUCUGACCAAGCCCGAUCUCGUCUGAUCUCGGAAGCUAAGCAGGGUCAGGCCUGGUCAGUGCUUGGAUGGGAGACCACCUAGGAAGACCAGGUGCUGUAAGCA
RNAcentral lists this ribosomal RNA (119 nucleotides) under Pteropus alecto (black flying fox). Lineage: Eukaryota; Metazoa; Chordata; Mammalia; Chiroptera; Pteropodidae. The record is from RNAcentral.